Molecule: unclassified non-coding RNA, 274 nt
Filed under: Hevea brasiliensis (rubber tree)
Lineage: Eukaryota; Viridiplantae; Streptophyta; Magnoliopsida; Malpighiales; Euphorbiaceae
Source: RNAcentral
UUUUUUUUUUUUUUAAAAAAAAUGAAAAACUCUUAACUGGAGCAAACAACCGUCUGUUGAACUCAAGUGGUCAUUGUUGACCAAGACGGCAGCUUGAGCCGAAUAACAGUACAGAGUGAAAACCAAUAUACAGAUGCUCCUAGAUCACAUAGGCUAAGAAUAGGUAGCUAUAUACAUAAAUAUGUACAAGCAGGCAGGUUACCAUUGGAUAGUUGGCUUGGUCUUCAUAUGAUAGUGAGAUGUAUAAGCCUCAAGUGCCCAUAGCACUCAUCAC